This 610-nucleotide ribosomal RNA is filed under the name Sphingomonas paucimobilis. RNAcentral describes it as "bacterial SSU rRNA". It matches the Rfam family "Bacterial small subunit ribosomal RNA", at positions 83 to 729 of the family's 1533-position model. The record is from RNAcentral. Lineage: Bacteria; Pseudomonadati; Pseudomonadota; Alphaproteobacteria; Sphingomonadales; Sphingomonadaceae.
GCUUCGGCCUUAGUGGCGCACGGGUGCGUAACGCGUGGGAAUCUGCCCUUAGGUUCGGAAUAACAGCUGGAAACGGCUGCUAAUACCGGAUGAUAUCGCGAGAUCAAAGAUUUAUCGCCUGAGGAUGAGCCCGCGUUGGAUUAGGUAGUUGGUGGGGUAAAGGCCUACCAAGCCGACGAUCCAUAGCUGGUCUGAGAGGAUGAUCAGCCACACUGGGACUGAGACACGGCCCAGACUCCUACGGGAGGCAGCAGUGGGGAAUAUUGGACAAUGGGCGCAAGCCUGAUCCAGCAAUGCCGCGUGAGUGAUGAAGGCCCUAGGGUUGUAAAGCUCUUUUACCCGGGAAGAUAAUGACUGUACCGGGAGAAUAAGCCCCGGCUAACUCCGUGCCAGCAGCCGCGGUAAUACGGAGGGGGCUAGCGUUGUUCGGAAUUACUGGGCGUAAAGCGCACGUAGGCGGCUUUGUAAGUCAGAGGUGAAAGCCUGGAGCUCAACUCCAGAACUGCCUUUGAGACUGCAUCGCUUGAAUCCAGGAGAGGUCAGUGGAAUUCCGAGUGUAGAGGUGAAAUUCGUAGAUAUUCGGAAGAACUCCAGUGGGAAGGCGGCUGAC